UUCAAUUGAACCCAAGGUAUCCAAUUAUCAUAACCAUGGAGUCUCAAAGACACAAAAGUAAACAAAAACACAUACAUUUGUUUGAACUGGCCCAAUUUGAAGUAAAAGUGGAUCAAUUUUUGUAGGAUUCAUAAGUUUUUGACAGCAAAAGCGAUCAAUCAAGUGUUGUCAACUUCAAUCCAAUUGGCAUAGACAAUUACAAACGAGUGCUACUACUACGAAUUGAUAACUCAUCUCAGAGCAAAAUUCCUCACGCAAGGUCGAGAACGGUAGAGGGCUCCGUACACCCCUAUUGGAGGCAUGAGUGUCUCUCUACAAGCUGGCUCAGCUGCCUGCGGUUGUUCAUUACAAUUGAAGUCGAUUCGAUCAUCGUGCCCGUGCUUUUGAAUGAUUACGAUGCAGCUAGUGGGGGUUUGGUUUGAAAUUGCGGUAAGAAGAAGACGAUCAUCGUUUUCGCGAUAGGAUUUUGGUUGCCUGAUAUGGCUAAUAAUGUCAAUGGAGGUUCUUCUAACGCUCUCGCAAAUGAUCUUACAGAUAAAAGAUCUUGAAGACACAGGGAAGAUGAACUCCAGUCCUUGAGAUUGUUUUCCAUGGACUUGGUUCCUAUUGGAUUCUUUUCAUGGUUCAUUUUGUUGUUAAUGGUUCUCUUAAUCUGCCUUUUUGUCCCCAACAGGUAUGUUACUCCUCCUUUCUGUUUAUGAUUCAUAUGUUUUUCCAUCAUUUUAUCAAACUGCUUCUUUAGUAAUCCUUUAGUGAGUAUAAACUGAUUCGUGAUUAUGUUUAUCUUUAUAACUUAUUAAUUAAAGUUAUAAAUCCCAAGUGUAUGUAAUUUAAACUUCUUAAUGAGUCUUUUACUCAUGUUUUGAUGCCUGUUUUUGCCAUAAGGAGUUUGAAAUUAUAAAUUUAGAAAUUCUUAUACUCUUUGUUUUUGUUUUUAUGUUAAUUUCAUGUUUUUACAUUGAUAUUCCCUUUUCUAUAACAGUUUUGGUGAUAAGUGCUAAUAAUUUGGCUUAAACAACCUUUUUGUGGCUUUUUCUUUUUUCCAUUUUUCUCCAUUAACUCGUGUAUGAGUAAAGUGGCUAAAAAUGUGUAAAGAUGUUUGUCUAGAUAAAGUUCUGUAUAUAUAAAGCCUGUUUCUUUUUAAAAACUUUGAACAAGACAAAAUGACCCUUUUACCCUUUCAUCUUGAAAAAACAAAUUCCACAACAUUUGAUAGGAAAAAAGAAGGACAAACAGGUAAAGAGUUGGUAUCUUACUUACUACAUGUUUAUACUGUUACAUGAGAGACCCUUAACUUUGGAAUUAAUGACAUUUUCUACCCAACUAAGUCUUUUUUUUUUUAUUUAAAUAUAUUCGUAAGUAUUCCACAUCAUUGUUGAGGGUCUCUCUUGUUGUAGCCUUUUCAUUUUCAUUGUCUGUUAUAGUAUUUGUCUUGAUGUUGUUAAUGUUUCAGUUAUUUUGGUGUAUAUAUAACAUCUGAUUAGCUUUUCAACUGAUAUAACAGUACUUUCAAGUAAUAAUUCAUCAACUUAUUUAAAUUUUA
This is a long non-coding RNA of Lactuca sativa (garden lettuce), 1543 nucleotides long. RefSeq lists it as uncharacterized. NCBI's taxonomy places the organism in Eukaryota, Viridiplantae, Streptophyta, Magnoliopsida, Asterales, Asteraceae. The record is from RefSeq and is a predicted model, not a curated record.